Molecule: ribosomal RNA, 253 nt
Filed under: uncultured bacterium
Lineage: Bacteria
Description: partial 16S ribosomal RNA
Rfam family: Bacterial small subunit ribosomal RNA
Source: RNAcentral
UACGGAGGGUGCAAGCGUUAUCCGGAUUUACUGGGCUUAAAGGGUGCGUAGGUGGGUCUGUAAGUCAGUGGUGAAAUCUCCGAGCUUAACUCGGAAACUGCCAUUGAUACUAUAGGUCUUGAAUUAUCUGGAGGUAAGCGGAAUAUGUCAUGUAGCGGUGAAAUGCUUAGAUAUGACAUAGAACACCAAUUGCGAAGGCAGCUUACUGCGGAUUGAUUGACACUGAGGCGCGAAAGCGUGGGGAUCAAACAGG